AGGCGGCGAGACCACGCCUCGAGCACGGC
This 29-nucleotide small RNA is filed under the name Bombyx mori (domestic silkworm). RNAcentral describes it as "ovarian small RNA-12203". The record is from RNAcentral. Lineage: Eukaryota; Metazoa; Arthropoda; Insecta; Lepidoptera; Bombycidae.